RNAcentral lists this ribosomal RNA (569 nucleotides) under Sphaenorhynchus orophilus (Lutz's lime treefrog). RNAcentral's name for it is "partial 16S ribosomal RNA". It matches the Rfam family "Bacterial large subunit ribosomal RNA", at positions 1829 to 2597 of the family's 2925-position model. The record is from RNAcentral. Lineage: Eukaryota; Metazoa; Chordata; Amphibia; Anura; Hylidae.
CGCCUCUUGACACUACAUAUGAGGUCCAGCCUGCCCAGUGACAUUGUUCAACGGCCGCGGUAUCCUAACCGUGCGAAGGUAGCGUAAUCACUUGUUCUUUAAAUAAGGACUAGUAUGAAUGGCACCACGAAGGUUCUACUGUCUCCUUUUUUUAAUCAGUGAAACUAAUCUUCCCGUGAAGAAGCGGGAAUAAACUUAUAAGACGAGAAGACCCUAUGGAGCUUUAAACUAUUUAUCAAUUGUUUAUUUAUUUUCACUAUUUCAGAGCCAUAUCUUUUAUUAUAGCUUUUUGAUAAUAAGUUUUAGGUUGGGGUGACCGCGGAGCAAAAAAUAACCUCCAUAUUGAAAGGAAACCUUUCCUGAGCAAAAAACUACAAUUUUAUGCACCAAUAUAUUGACAUUAAUUGACCCAAUAAUUUGAUCAACGAACCAAGUUACCCUAGGGAUAACAGCGCAAUCUACUUCAAGAGCCCCUAUCGACAAGUAGGUUUACGACCUCGAUGUUGGAUCAGGGUAUCCUAGUGGUGCAGCCGCUACUAAAGGUUCGUUUGUUCAACGAUUAAAACCCU